This 1583-nucleotide unclassified non-coding RNA is filed under the name Hevea brasiliensis (rubber tree). The record is from RNAcentral. Lineage: Eukaryota; Viridiplantae; Streptophyta; Magnoliopsida; Malpighiales; Euphorbiaceae.
GGACAUGGUAAUGCCGGUGAUUUAUACGUCACGCUGCCUCUUCUAUUAUCCCAUUCCACUCUCCCUUCUCAACUUCUCUUCUUGUCGUCUUCAACCUUCCUUUCUCUAGUCCUUUCUCUUCCCAGAAUGUCUUACGAUUACCUCUUCAAGUACAUAAUCAUUGGAGACACCGGUGUAGGGAAAUCAUGCCUGCUCUUGCAAUUCACGGAUAAGAGGUUCCAGCCUGUGCAUGAUCUCACUAUCGGUGUUGAGUUCGGCGCUCGCAUGGUUACCAUCGAUGGCCGACCCAUCAAGCUUCAGAUUUGGGACACUGUAUGUUGCCCUCUAUUUUCUCUUACCUUUCCUUUUUCCAAUUUUCUCCGCACUUUUAUUUUAUUUCUUUAUAAUUAUUAAUUCUAUCGCUUGUGGCUUGUGCUUCUAUUUUCAUUUGUUUUAAUUCAUUUAUGCUUGUUUCUGCUACAAGUUAGGAAUUAUUUGGAAGCAGAAAAUUCUUUUUAGAACUAAUGGUCAGUGAACUUGGUCACUAAAUUCUAAUUAGGUCACUAAUGGCAAAAUUUUUAGGGGAUAUUAGACAAAUAUUUUAUGUGUUGAGUGUUGACUAAGAAAUAUCCUGUUUUUAAUUAUAAAACUAUAUUGGAAAAUUCUGUACUUAUCAUAUCAAAAAUUUGGAUUAAUUUUUAUUCUGUCAAAAUCUAGCAACAUCGAAUUCAGUGAAACAAAUUAAAGUUCAGUAAUUUUGUCAACAAAAAUUGACCUUGAAAUAAGAAUUUAAGCCUGCCAGCUUCCAUUUUGCUUUAACUGUUUCCCCUUAAUUUUAGGAAGUUGUUAUAAGGGAUCAAUUAUAAUAUUUGUAAAAAUUUAGGAAGCAGUGAUAAAAAGUUAAUUUUUUUUCUUGUUUUUUUAGUUACUCUUAGAGCAUGUUUGGUAGACUAUAGUGAAGCAUAAUGGAAUUUAUUGGAUUAAAUUUUCAGUUCAUUGAUCUAUUGAAUUUUUAUUUGAUUACUCUCAUCUGGAGUCAACCAAACGUGCACUUAAUAUUCAGUGGUUGCUGCCUCUCACGCAUGCAAACUAGAUUUUAGUUCCACUAUAAUAUUGACUAGUAUACAUGAAUCUCCCUCCUUAGAUCCCCAUAAGGGGUCCAUUUUUUGGCUUAUAAUGACUUACACCAUCUCCAUCUCCAUCUCCAUCUUCCUUUUCCAUCAAUAUGGGUUGUUCGGGUUCAAAAUUCGGCUCUGAAGCAGAAUCUGUGCCCGCCAAGCUGAGGCCGCUUCUGCUUCUAAGGUUUGAGGAGAUGAGAAGAUGGAGGCAUGGAGUUUCUUUGAAAGACAACGACUCAGCCACCCUUUCCAAGAAAGAGCUGCUCAAAGAUGAUUUAAUUUCUGACAGCGAUAAUUCCUCUCAUCCUCGUGAUUUUGAUCAUAAGAGCAUUUCUUCGCAAGAGGAUCAUAGUCUCAAGAUAGCACCUGCCCCGGAGUCUGAUGAAACUGCUCCUAAGAAUAAGAUUGACCCUAAUAAGGUUGCAAAAACGGCGCCAUUGCUGCUGAUGUCACCAUAUAAAGAUGUGAAUCACAAGGCCGUGGAAG